GCCAUCUUAUACCUCAUAUGAUUGAGUGAACCCCAACGGUCCAGGGUAAGAAGAGAGUAAAUGCUCUUCUCCACUUCUUCACUUGCUAGCUUGGUGCUCACAGGAUAACAAUUUCGUGCAGAGACUUUUGGGGGCCGCUUAGUGAACCCCAUUUGAGAGAAAGCUCUGGCUGUUCCGGCGCUGCUUAACUGUGGACACAUUGCAG
This 205-nucleotide unclassified non-coding RNA is filed under the name Hevea brasiliensis (rubber tree). Lineage: Eukaryota; Viridiplantae; Streptophyta; Magnoliopsida; Malpighiales; Euphorbiaceae. The record is from RNAcentral.